Molecule: long non-coding RNA, 9537 nt
Organism: Homo sapiens (human)
Lineage: Eukaryota; Metazoa; Chordata; Mammalia; Primates; Hominidae
Exons: 2
Source: RefSeq, a predicted model, not a curated record
CUUGCUUUUGAUUUGUUUUCAUGGAAUAUUUUUCCUUCUCUUUACUUUCACCCUAUGUAUGUCUUUACAGGUGAGGUUAGUUUUCACUAUAUAGUUGGGUCUUGUUUUUUAAUCCUUUUAGCCAGUCUAUAUUUUUAAAAUGGGGAAUUUAAUCUGUUUAUAUUCAGGGUUAUUACUGACAGGUGAGUACUUACUCCUAUCAUUUGAUUGAUUGUUUCCUGGUUGUUUUUGUAUAUCCUUUGCUCUUUACUUCCCUUCUUAUUGUUUAUUUUUGUGGUUGGGUGGUUUUCUGUAAUAAUAAGGUUUGAUUCCUUUCUCUUUCUUCCUUGUGUUUUGGUUCUAUCAGUGAGUUUUAUAGUUUCAAAUGCUUUCAUGAUGGUGUCAAUUCAUGGUGCACCAUGGGACUGAAAUUUAAGUUUUAUAAUGAAUGCUUUUUUCCUUAAUUCCUGCUUUUAUGUCUUCAUGACUGUGUAAAAACUUCAUUAGUUGAUGGAUUCAAAAGACUAACUUGAAGUCAUUUUGGAAUGUGAAUCUGGGCCAGAUAAACCUUCAUGUCCUCUCUACACUAUUCUAAAAAUGGAUGUUCCUCCUGCUUGCUUGGUAGCUAAAAACAUAUCUGACUUCAGCAAUAGUAAGAAGUAGAUUUAUUAAUGCACACAGAAGAAUUGGGACCUGAUGUGGGAGGCAGAGAGAUGAUGAGGGAAAGCUCUCUGGAGUAGCUGCUCUAUUUACCAACACCGACCUUUCUUUCUAGCACAAACUUGGGGCUACCUCCACACGUUGAGUGUUUUCCCUGUGUAAAUCUGCUGUUUUCUUCUAACUCUGAAUUGGCAUGUCCUCACUGAGUUUCAGUCCAAAUUUACAAAAACAAAAUCCCUCCCAACUGAUUUAAUAUGCCUGCACUCAUAUUUUCAAGUGCCUGCACUCAUAUUUAAAGUGUCUGUACUUUAAAUAUUUAAAGUGUCUGCACUCAUAUUUUCAAGAUGUUUGUUUGCAACCCCACACACUGACCUUUCUGUUUCCAAACUAAUUUGAUAUGCACUGCAAUUCUGUGAUACCGAAACAUGAGAAGGAUAUUACAUGAAAGGAAAACAAUUUUCCAGCCUUGCUAUAAACAUAAAGGCAAAAAUCCUAAACAAAACUUUACACAGGGAAUUUGGUCAUAUAUAAAAAUGAUGAAACAUCAUACACAAGUAAGGUUUUAUGUCAACAAUUUAUGAUUGGUGUAACAUUUAAAAGUAAAUCAAUGGGAUACUUCUCAUUAAUGGAGUACAGGGGAAAAUGUUAUGAUUAUCUUCGUAUUGGCUAUAGAAUGUGUGAAAGAGUCACUUAUCUCUUCAUGAUAAAUGAGAAAAUAAUGACAGAACAUUAGAAGUUCACUUAUUUGAUGGCAAGCCUAUACAAAAACCAUACAGCAGAGGGAACUACUUUCACAACGGUGGAGUAAAAUCUGCUCCUUCAUAAAAGGAGGGAGAAUAAGUUUAAGAAUCCAUUAUUCAAAAUUCUUAGGACCAGAAAUUUUUCAAAUUUUGGAUAUUUUCACAUUUUGUAAUCUUUGCAUAUAAAUAAUGAGAUAUCUUAGGGAUGAGAGGCAAGUGUAAACAUUAUCUGUGUUUCACAUAUACCUUAUACACAUAGGCUGAAGGUAAUUUUAUGCAAUAUUUUUACCGGUUUCCUGCAUGAAACAAAGUUUGUAUACACUGAAACAUCAGAAAGAAAGUUGUCCCUAUCUCAGCCGCCCAUGUGGACAAUCUGUGAUUGUUUAGUAUCACCAUUGUAUCUGACUCGAAUUUAUAUGCUACCAAUAAGCAAUCAUUUUAUUACACUUAUUCACCCAUAAAUAUUUAACAAUAAAAAUACGACAUACCAUUAAUACUGUGAAAAUAAUGUGUUCAGGGUAACUAAGCAGCACAGUAGCAUCACCAAAAUACCUGCCCCAGCUGUUAAACAACAGCAAGAAGCAACAGCAGCAGGAUUUCAGUCUCCAUCUACGAUGCUGUGUUUUGAUUAAACGAUUAUUGGUCACUGUAUUUUAUUUUUGUAGGUGAAAAGAGACAUCACAAGCAAUUGAGGGACCAGGAAGUGGAUCCUCUAGAGAUGAGGAGGCAUUCUGCUGGAUGACUUUUAAAAAUGUUUUCUCCAGAGUCAUCUCUCUCAUUAACAAUGUUUUUUGUCUUAGAAAUUUCUUGUUGAUUUUUAAACUUACAUGAUUUCUUGUUUUGGUAUGAAUACAGGCUGCUUCAGUCCUUCAAUAAGCCCAUCACACUUUUUCACCAUGUCAUCUAUCAGCACUUUUUCUGCAGUGUUACGAACAUCAGCUUCAUCACUGUCAGCCUGCGUUUUGCCUGCAACCCAUCAAAUGAGAAUUUUGGAAUUCAGCCAAAGGUUUGUCACAAUCCAAGGAGUGGCAUCAUUAAGAAUCAUCAAGAAAAACAAGAAAACUUUAGCAAGAACAGAAAGUUUAGUGGCAGUAUAACUUUUCCAUUCCCAUCUUUGUGCCCAGCUGUGUGGUAGCCUGAAAGCCACCAGGUUUGCUCCACAGUGGCUGUGAAAACCAGCAGCCCAGCAGCCCCUGCACGGGAGGAUUUCCUUUCUGCUUUCGAAAGCUCUGUCCCCGGAAAACUGUCACUAUUUCAUUUGUAUGUCAGCUCUCUAAAAAGGCACCCUUUUCAUAGCAUGUAUUUACCUCGUCUAACUCAGAGUGUGCUCUAUGUGGACAGUGCUAUUUCUGGGGCAAUUUUUUGCCAUCACAGCUACUUCCGACGGUGAGGCCAAUUGGAGCUAACAAGAGGCUGACCAAAAAACAAAAAAGGAAAAGGUAGGAAAGAUUUCCAGGUGCUUAAAGAAAAUCUCUGUCACAUCUGUGGGACUUUAGAAUACCACACUCCUGCACAGAAUUGUGUGUUUGCCCCAGGGCUGUGUACAUGCUAAGGAAAGACCUCAGAUGACCCUAAUUGUUCACCUCUGGCUGAAUUAAAGUCUCUAUGUGAACAGGAGGUGAAAUACAACAUAAAGUUGCAAGUUUCCCAGUGGAAUGUUGACAGUGUAUCUCAAUGGAUACACAUGCAGCCCCUUGGAAAAGUCCAGGUGAUUUAUUGGUUUAGUAUUUAAGAUCAUUUCUGUCCAAUCAUGAGCUGACCUCUAAGCUAAUGGAACAGCGUCUUUAGUGGCUACACAUGACACACGAUACAGACUUUAGCAAAUUAGUCCAGGAAAGUUACUAAGGAAGUAAUCAACAGCAAAGACUGUGCAAACAAACCCUGGGGAGAGAAUCUGAUUUCCAAACUGGCCACAUUAUAUUAUGUAAAAAGUCCAAUUUCAUUAAAGAAUUACGAGACAUGCAAAGAAACAAAAAAUAUUGCCCAUACAGAGAAGGGAAGGGAAACAAUGAACAGAGAUGAUCCUUUAGGAGCUCAGAUGAUGGAUUAGUAGACAAAGACAUCAGCUAUUAUAAAUACACUGAAAUAACUAAAGGAAACUCUGGACAAAAGACUAAAGGAAUGUAUGAGAAUAAUGUCUUACAACAUAGAAAGAAUUAAAGAUAAGUAAUGAAGUUGUAAAGUACAACCAAUGAAAUAGAAAUUCAAAACAGGGGUUCACCAGAAGACAGAAACAGAAGAAAGGAUCGGCUAACUUAAUUACAGGUCAUUUGAGAUUAUACACUCUAAGGAACAAUAAAGAAAAUAAUUAAGAAAAAUGAACAGAGCCUCAGAGACCUGAAGAACACAAUCUAGUGUAAAAACAUAUGCAUAAUGGGAAUCUCAGGAGAGAGAAGAAAGAGAAAGGCGCAGAAAGAAUAUAUGAAGAUAGAAUGACGACGAAAAUUUUUAUUUUGAUUAAAAACAUUAAUCUCUACAUCUAAGAAGCUCAAAGAACACUAAGUAGGAAAAUCUCUAAGAGAUCCACACCUAGAUCGAAAUAUUAGUGACAAAGGCAAGGAGAAAAUUUUGAAAGCAAGGGACAAGCCACUUAUCAUGAGCAGUUAAUAAACUAAACAGUAAUUUUUCAUUAAAAUCAUGAAAGCCAGAAGGUAGUGAGAGAACACAUUAAAAACGGCAGAAGAAAAACCUAUCAACCAAGGAUUCUAUAUCUUGGUAUGUCUAUUCUUCAGAAGUCAGGGAAAAAUUAAGGCAUUCCUGGAUAUACAAAAACUGAAGAGUUCAUCACCAUCAACCUGACUGCAAGAAAUACUGACAUGAUGAUAUAUAUAUAUACACGCAUAUAUAUGUAUAUAUAUAUACACGCAUAUAUAUGUAUAUAUAUAUACACGCAUAUAUAUGUAUAUAUAUAUAUACACGCAUAUAUAUGUAUAUAUAUACACGCAUAUAUGUACAUGUAUAUAUAUAUAUAUACACACAUACAUACACAGAAAAUCCUUAAGAAUCCCUCAAAAUAUUAUUAGAGCUAAUAAAUGACCUCAGCAAGGUUCAGGACAUAAUGUCAAAAUACAACACUCUAUGGUUUUAAGAAUAAAAUUUCAUUUACAAUAGCAUAAAAAGAAUAGGAUAAUUAGGGAUUCAUUUAACCAAAAAAUGGAGAAACUUUUAUACUGAAAAUGGAAAAUUAUUUUUCAAGGAAAUAAAAGAAGACCCCCAAAAUAGAAAGCUAUACUGUGUUCAUGGAUUGGAAAACUCGAUGUUGCCAAGCUGGUAAUUCUUCACAAAUUGAUCUAUAAAUUCAAUGCAAUCCCUAGAAAACUUCAGGUGAAUUUUUGUUGAAAUAGAUCAGUGAAUCCCAAAAUUUGUAUACAAAUGCAAGGGACCCAGAAUAGCCAAAACAGUCUUAAAAAAAAAGGGCAGAAUUGGAGGACUCACAUUUUUUUAUUUCAACGUGUACUACAAAUCUACAAUUUCAAGAUGUUGUGUUACUAGCAUAAGGAUAAACACAAUAUAUCAAAGGAAUAGAAUUGAGAAUCCAUAAAUAAGCCAUUACAUUUUAAAUUGUCUUAUUUUCAACAAAGGUACAAAAACUAUCCAGUGGGGAUAGAGUAGUCUUUUCAACAAAUAAUGGGGAAAAACUGGAUAUGCACCUGCAAAAAAAUAUACAUGGACUGUUACAUCAUAUCAAGUACAAAAAUGGGCUCCAAAUAAAACAAGACCUAAAUAUAUGAACUAAAAUUACAAAACUCUUUGAGGAAAACAUAAAUGUAUAUCUUCAUGAUCUGGUAAUCAGCAUCAAUUUCUUAGAUAUGCUACCAAAAGCACAAGCAACAAAAGGAAUAAUAGAUCCAAAAAUAGAUUAAAGUUAAAAACUUUGGUGAGUCAAAGGGCACUAAUAAGAAAUGAAAAGAUAACCCACAGACAUGGGAGAAAAUAUUUGCAAAUUUUAUAUCUGAUAAGGGCCUAGUAUUCAAAAUACAAAAAGAACUCCUAAAAUCAACCAUAAAAGACAAAAACCAUGAUUAAAAACUGGGCAUCAGAUUUUAACAGACAUUUCUCCAAAAGAAAAUGUACAAAUGGCCAAUAAGCAUGUAAAAUGAUGGGUGAUAUCAUUAGACCUCAGGAAAAUGCAAAUCAGAACCACAACGAGAAGCCACUUCACAUGUACUAUGAUAGCUAUAAUCUUAAAAAAAAAAAACCUAAAAUAACAAGUGUUAGUGAGGAUGUGGAGAAUCUGGAACAUUCAUACAUUGCUGGUGGGAACAUAAAAUGGUACAUCCUCUGUGGAAAACAGUCUGGCAGUUCCUUGAAGAGUUAAACAUAGAGUUAUCAUGUGACUCAUCAGUUCCACUUUAAGAAUUAUACUCAAGGUAAUUGAAAACAUUUUAACACAAAAUUUGCACAUAAAUGUUCAUAGUAGGAUUAAUAAUAGUACAUACAAACUAGAAACAUCCAAAUGUUCACCAAUGGAUAAAUGGAUAAACAAAAUGUGAUGUAUCCAUUCAGUGAAAUAUUAUUCAUACAUAAAAAGUAAAAAAAAAAAAAAGAUCCCACCCUACAACAUGGAUGAGCUUUGAAAACAUAAUUCUGCAUGAAAGAAGUCAGAUGCAAUGAGCCACAUAUUAUAUACUUUAAUUAAUAUAAAGUGUCCAGAAUAAGUCAAUUCAUAAAAAGCAGGUUAGUGGUUGCCAAGGGAGAAGUAAAGGUAGGAGGAAGGAUUGAGUGCCAUCAGGUAUAGGGGUUCUUCAUGGGAGUAAUGAAGUUGUUCCGGAAUUAACAAGUGGUGAGGGUUGCACAAGCUUAUCAAAAUACUGAAAACCACUAUAUUGUACACCUUAAAAGGUGCAUGUCAUGGUUUGUAAAUUGUAUCUCAAUAAGAAAGUAGCACAAAUAAUUAACUGAAUAACUAAACAAAUAUAAGUUAAACACACUUGCUUUGAUUCCUGGACUGGGAGACUAGAUUACCACUUCUGAUUCUGUAAGUGAAGUUUGUUGGCAUACAACCACAUCCAUUGGUAAGAAUGAUCUUUGACUGCCUUUGUCCUAUAGUGGUACAGACAAGGAGUUGCAAUAAAGAUCUUAAGGCAUAUAAAACUUACAAUAUUCAUUUCCUGGCUCUUUGCUGAAGUUUGUUGACUCCUAUGUUAAAGCAAUCAAAUUUUUAAUGAAAAACCUUUCCAAAAAGUACACUGCUGGUCCAGGUGGCUUCACAGGUAAAUGCUAUUAAACAUCUACAAAUUAUACAUUCUACAAAAAUGUUUUAAGACAAGAGAAGCAGAGAAAACACUUCCCAACUUCUUUUAUGAGCCUAAGAUAACUGUGAUACUAAAACCUGGGAAGAACAUUAUAAAAAAGUUUACUUACAGUCUAACAUCCUUCAUAGACAUAGGCAUAAAAAUCUCUAACCAAGUAGUCAUAAACUCAGUCCAAAAAUAUGUUAAAUAGAUUAUACAUUAAGGUCAAAUGAGACACACAUUCAGGAUAUGUUUUGUAUUAAAAUUAGUCAGUGUAAUUCACUAUAUGAUCAUCUCAACAGAGAAAGUAUUUGACAAAUCCAAAACCCAUUUAUUAUAAAACUUCUCCACCUGCAAGGAAGAGAAGCUCUCCCUCUCAAUAUGAUAAAGGGCACUAUAUUCAACUUAAAGCAUAUCUUAGUGGUGUACUGAAGUGGAAGGAGGUUAUUGGAAGGAGUUCACCCCAGUUGUAAGCAAUAAAUAGGUCCCCCAAUUGUAGAGAAUUUAAGAAUAAUAAUAAAAGUGGCUUAAAAAGCUGUACUGUAUAUUAUCACUAUGUGCUGGCAAUUUUAAACAGAGUCAGAGAUAAACACUCCCUCCUCCUCAGAUGAACCACUCCCACUGCCACAAUCCUUGGUAUGCCGCUGAUAAACAUCAUCUCUAAUGGUAAAAUAUUGGAUGUUUUCUCCUUAAGGUUAGGAGAAGGCAAGGAUGUCUGUCUUCACCAUUUCUACUUAACAUUGAGAGCUUGGCCAGUGUUUUUGUUUAUUUUUAUUUUUUUUCUUGAGAUGGAGUUUCACACUUGUCACCCAGGCUGGAGUGCAAUGAUGCAAUCCCAGCUCACUGCAACCUCCACCUCCCAGGUUCAAGUGAUUCUCUUGCCUCGGCCUCCCGAGUAGCUGGGAUUACGGGUGCCCUCCACCAUGCCCAGCUAAUUUUUGUAUUUUUAGUAGAGACAGGGUUUCACUAUGUUGGUCAGGCUAGUCUUGAACUCCUGAUCUCAGGGUGAUCCACCCUCUUCAGCCUCCCAAAGUUCUGGAAUUACAGGCGUGAGCCACUGUGCCUGGCAAAAAAAAAAAAAAAGUAUUAUAGUCUUUACAUUCUUUUGUAAGAAUUAAACCUUGGGAUUCAAAAUAGUAACAUUGCUGGUUAGAAGUCUAAAGCAAAGACCAGAAAAUGCUGACAUGUAGAGCCAAAAAUUAAGGUCAAUGUGUUCAGAGAAUGAAUCAGGAGCACUAAGGAAAAAGCAGUCACCAUCUAAUCAUGUUGCUUGUACCUGUUGCCACAUUAGGAGUAUAUGCUUAUCAUUCUGUAUGCUACUAAUAGUGAGUCAUUCUUGCAAAUAAAAUUAAUUUUAAUAGACGUACAAGUGAAUAUAUAUAUAAAUCCUAUGAGUGGUGUUUCAGGAAAUAACAAGUUUGGAAGCAAAUAAGUUCUGAAAUUGGCAAUUUUGGUUUACAGUUCUGUAUAGAACUGUUAACUUUGCUAAGGAGAUCCGAAAUUUUAAUUGUUCACCUGCUAAUAACUAGCAUAUUUCUGAGAGUAUGAAUAUUCACAACCUACAGUUCUUUGUAAAUGUGAUAAACUCAAUGUUUCUUAACCAUCAAACCAUGUCUAUAAUGAGUAAGCAGUGUGAAGAAUGUUGGAUAAACUUUAAGAACAACUUUAAUUUAAAGAAUUCCUGGGAAUUCUGAAAUAUUUUUCUUAAAUCUUGAAUAUAAAUAUCUGUUGGUAACUUGAAAGCACUAGAAGAAAAUAUCUACAAUGGCAAUACAAAAUUAUGAGUAUCAUAACUACACUACCAUGUAGCACAUAUAAUAUUAAUUCACUUCUACUGUCACUUGUUUCUAUUUGAACUAGGUCACUUUAAUUAUAUAGUCAACUUUAUUGGGGCUUUUAAAAGUGGCUUGUUUAUAGAAUUUGUGCCAAUGCUCAUGUUAAGUUGAGAUUUUAACCAAGAAUGGUAAUUAUAAAUUGUUAUCAUCACUGAUAAUUUGUGGGAUUGAACUUCAGUCCAGAAUAUUAUAUACAUUGUUAAAAAGAAAUGAUCUUAUUAGGAAGGGGGUUAAGAAGCAUUGUAUAUCAAGAGUGGGCAUGGUGGCUCAUGCCUGUAGUACCAGCACUUUGGGAGGCUAAGAUGGGCGAAUCACUUGAGGUCAGGGGUUCGAGACCAGCCUGGCCAACAUGGUGAAACCCCAUCUCUACUAAAAAUACAAAAAGUAGCUGGAUAUGGUGGCACACACCUGUAAUCUCACCUAAUUGGGGGCUGAGGCAGAAGAAUCACUUGAGCCUGGGAGGUGGAGGUUGCAGGCGCUUCAGCCUGGGUGACACAAUGAGGGAGAUUCCAUCUCAAAAAAAAAAAAAGCAUUGCAUAUCAAAAUAAUACAUAAGAGAAAAUCAAUGAACUUAGAAGCAGCAACACUGUAGAAUACAUGUUUGUAAGAACAAAAGAAGAAAUAAAGGGAAGACAAACCUUGUGGGAAUAUAUUACAGACCACCCAACUGGUAUGGUAAUGAAUGAUACCUUCUGAAGGCAGUUUAUAAAAAUAAUAUAAAGGCAGGAUAAAAUAAUAAGCAGUUGCUUUUAUCUGAAAAUUAUUUCAUUUAUGUUAUGUCUUACAGUGCCUGAGUGCAUUUAUAACAAUAAAUGCUUCUUAAAUGAGAAAAAACAGGCAAGUCUUAAAUUGGUAGAUGUCAGCAUAAUGAUUGCCCCUGAAGGGUUGGAAUUAAAUUUGAAUGCGUCAUAGACAACUUUCAAGGUUGAUGAGAAUGUUCUAUAUCUCCAUAUGAUUUUGUGUAACUACACAUAUGUAUUUGCCAAAUCUCAUUCAAAUAAAUACAUUAGAUCUGUGCUUUUCUUUGUAUAUAUUUUACCUCAAUAUUAAGAUAUAAUAAAAGAUUGUUUUAUUAUUAUUAUUACCAAA